UUUUGGUUCGGAACAACUCAGGGAAACUUGAGCUAAUACCGAAUGUGCCCUUCGGGGGAAAGAUUUAUCGCCAUUAGAGCGGCCCGCGUCUGAUUAGCUAGUUGGUGGGGUAAAGGCUCACCAAGGCUACGAUCAGUAGCUGGUCUGAGAGGAUGAUCAGCCACAUUGGGACUGAGACACGGCCCAAACUCCUACGGGAGGCAGCAGUGGGGAAUCUUGCGCAAUGGGCGAAAGCCUGACGCAGCCAUGCCGCGUGAAUGAUGAAGGUCUUAGGAUUGUAAAAUUCUUUCACCGGGGACGAUAAUGACGGUACCCGGAGAAGAAGCCCCGGCUAACUUCGUGCCAGCAGCCGCGGUAAUACGAAGGGGGCUAGCGUUGCUCGGAAUUACUGGGCGUAAAGGGAGCGUAGGCGGAUAGUUUAGUCAGAGGUGAAAGCCCAGGGCUCAACCUUGGAAUUGCCUUUGAACUGGCUAUCUUGAGUACGGAAGAGGAUGUGGAACUCCGAGUGAGAGUGAAAUUCGUAGAUAUUCGGAAGAACACCAGUGGCGAAGCGACAUACUGGUCCGUUACUGACGCUGAGCUCGAAGCGUGGGGAGCAACAGGAUAGAUACCCUGGUAGUCACGCUGUAACGAUGAGGCUAUUGUCGCAUGCAGCAUGUCGGGACGC
Molecule: ribosomal RNA, 667 nt
Filed under: Caulobacter henricii
Lineage: Bacteria; Pseudomonadati; Pseudomonadota; Alphaproteobacteria; Caulobacterales; Caulobacteraceae
Description: bacterial SSU rRNA
Rfam family: Bacterial small subunit ribosomal RNA
Source: RNAcentral